GCCCGGCUAGCUCAAUUGGUAGAGCGUGAGACUCUUAAAGCUCUCUUUCAGCUAGGCAUCUCAAGAUUGGGGGUUCGACCCCCCCCCCCCAAUCGGGCU
RNAcentral lists this transfer RNA (99 nucleotides) under Lasiosphaeris hirsuta. RNAcentral describes it as "tRNA-Lys". The stretch from base 8 to 85 matches the Rfam family "tRNA", at positions 8 to 63 of the family's 71-position model. From Rfam's summary of the family: Transfer RNA (tRNA) molecules are approximately 80 nucleotides in length. Their secondary structure includes four short double-helical elements and three loops (D, anti-codon, and T loops). The record is from RNAcentral. Lineage: Eukaryota; Fungi; Ascomycota; Sordariomycetes; Sordariales; Lasiosphaeriaceae.